RNAcentral lists this ribosomal RNA (629 nucleotides) under uncultured bacterium. RNAcentral's name for it is "bacterial SSU rRNA". It matches the Rfam family "Bacterial small subunit ribosomal RNA", at positions 28 to 636 of the family's 1533-position model. The record is from RNAcentral.
AUUGAACGCUGGCGGCAGGCCUAACACAUGCAAGUCGAGCGGAAACGAGUUAACUGACCCUUCGGGUGACGUUAACGGCGUCGAGCGGCGGACGGGUAAGUAAUGCCUGGGAAAUUGCCCUGAUGUGGGGGAUAACCAUUGGAAACGAUGGCUAAUACCGCAUAAUAGCUUCGGCUCAAAGAGGGGGACCUUCGGGCCUCUCGCGUCAGGAUAUGCCCAGGUGGGAUUAGCUAGUUGGUGAGGUAAUGGCUCACCAAGGCGACGAUCCCUAGCUGGUCUGAGAGGAUGAUCAGCCACACUGGAACUGAGACACGGUCCAGACUCCUACGGGAGGCAGCAGUGGGGAAUAUUGCACAAUGGGCGCAAGCCUGAUGCAGCCAUGCCGCGUGUGUGAAGAAGGCCUUCGGGUUGUAAAGCACUUUCAGCAGUGAGGAAGGCGGGUACGUUAAUAGCGUGCUCGUUUGACGUUAGCUGCAGAAGAAGCACCAGCUAACUCCGUGCCAGCAGCCGCGGUAAUACGGAGGGUGCGAGCGUUAAUCGGAAUUACUGGGCGUAAAGCGCAUGCAGGUGGUUCGUUAAGUCAGAUGUGAAAGCCCGGGGCUCAACCUCGGAACUGCAUUUGAAACUGG